This 431-nucleotide ribosomal RNA is filed under the name uncultured bacterium. Its description in RNAcentral is "partial 16S ribosomal RNA". It matches the Rfam family "Bacterial small subunit ribosomal RNA", at positions 29 to 507 of the family's 1533-position model. The record is from RNAcentral.
AACGAACGCUGGCGGCAGGCUUAACACAUGCAAGUCGAACGCCCCGCAAGGGGAGUGGCAGACGGGUGAGUAACGCGUGGGAACAUACCCUUUUCUACGGAAUAGCUCUGGGAAACUGGAAUUAAUACCGUAUACGCCCUACGGGGGAAAGAUUUAUCGGUGAAGGAUUGGCCCGCGUUGGAUUAGCUAGUUGGUGGGGUAAAGGCCUACCAAGGCGACGAUCCAUAGCUGGUCUGAGAGGAUGAUCAGCCACAUUGGGACUGAGACACGGCCCAAACUCCUACGGGAGGCAGCAGUGGGGAAUAUUGGACAAUGGGCGCAAGCCUGAUCCAGCCAUGCCGCGUGAGUGAUGAAGGCCUUAGGGUUGUAAAGCUCUUUCACCGAUGAAGAUAAUGACGGUAGUCGGAGAAGAAGCCCCGGCUAACUUCGUG